RNAcentral lists this unclassified non-coding RNA (3334 nucleotides) under Hevea brasiliensis (rubber tree). Lineage: Eukaryota; Viridiplantae; Streptophyta; Magnoliopsida; Malpighiales; Euphorbiaceae. The record is from RNAcentral.
CUGCACUGAGCUAGAUUGCUCUGAGAACUUCUGUAAGAACGAUAGAACGGCUGCAUCUUUUGCAGCUGCUAUUGAUCUUUCCUGCAUUAACAGCUCCCGUUCUCUCUUAAUCCUAUCCAAUUCUUGCAUCUUCCACGCUUCCUCUCUCGCCAUUCUAUCUUGUUCACACUUCUCUAUUGCAUCUAGAAACUUCCUUUGCAAAUUCUCUUGCUUCUCAAUCACUUCCUUCAUCAACCUCUCAAAAAACUCCGUCAAUUUCCUUUUCUUCUUUCUUGUUCCUUCUGACUCUUCAGUUGAAGUAGACGCGGUUGAAGUAGAAUGGUUAUCAACAAAAUUUAUACUAGGGCUUUGGAUAGAACUUGGAAUAAUGUUGGUAUUAAGAUUUACUGGGCUUACUGUGACUGCAGCCAUGGAAGAGUGAACUUUAUCUGGGGAUGGAGAUGACAACAAUACUUGGUUGUUGCUGUUGUCUAGCGCUUCUAAUUGCUCAAAAAACCUAUAUGUCUUGCCAUUUGACUUGCCGGAUCUACCUUCUUUUGUUCUUCUAUGGUACUUGUAAAUAUUCUCAAACUUCUCCUUGCAUUUCUUGGCACUUCGGUUAUAUCCUAGCUCACUUAAUAACCUAAUAGCAACAAUUACAAUAAAAAAAAAAUAACUAUUCCAUAGAUUCACUUCAAUUAUUUAACUUUGAAUUAACCAAUUAGCAAUAUCUAACACAAUUAAAUAACAAAUCAAGACAUAUAAGUACAAGUUAUGAGACCCAUUUGACACAAACACACCAAAAGUUAAUGACGAACUCAGUGCAUACAAACUGAACAAAACAGAAAAAAACGUUAAUUUGCCGGUAGUUUUCAAGUAGGUAAGUGUUAUUUUCCCCAAAAAUUGAUCAUAAAGGUGGGAAUUGAUGGAAGCAAGUCAGUCUCAAACAUUUACAUGGAAACCUAACAAUAAAUGAUAUAAAAAAAAAAAAAAGAGAGAGAGUGCAGCCAUGGGUUUUAUUACUCCUACUCCAAGACGUCUGAUAGUGAACCACCAUAGGGCAAGAGUAUGGUUCUUGUUGAAUUUUAUAUUUUUUGAAGACAGAAGGAUUGUAUUUAGCUUCUUUGAUUGCUCAUACAAGACGCUGACUACCAUUGAAGUAAUUAAUAACUAUUGUUUGUUAUUGCUGUCAUGGUUCUUACAAGUGUUGCUUGAUCUUAUUGACAAGCCUUUGAUGUACCUUGGCUAUGUGGUUGAGUUCUAUCUCAACUUGCUUUCUCAAAAUGGUGGCUUCCUUGGCCUUUUCAUGAGCAUUUUUCUUGGAAAACUGAAGAAACCAGAAAGAGGCACAGAAAAUUUUUUAAGUACCAUUGGAGGGUUGGAUCCAAGAGUCGAUCUGCGCGUGACUGGAUCAUUUACAAAACAGCUAAAUGAAAAAGCUAUUGCAGAGGUAAUCACAGAAACGGUUAAUAGAGAUCUCAUGGAUCUAUGUGUCAUGGCAGCUAAGCUAGCUUAUGAAAAUGCCAGAGUAGUGGAAAAUGUUGUGAAUAGUUGUUGGAAGAUGAAUUUUGUGGGUUACUACAACUGUUGGAAUGGUAGAAGAAUUUGGAAUGGUACGAUAACAGGAGUUUUUUUUUAGUGUAACUAUUAUUGUUAUUGCUGUUGUUAUAUAAUGAAAUAGUUCUUGUUUUACAUCCAUCGAGUAUAAGGUAAGAGUGUUAAAUAUAAAAAAUUUGAAUAAUUAUCUCUAUUUUUUGAAAUUGAGUUAAGUCUGAUUUAUUUUUUUUUUGUCUCGAUAUUGGGUCACCUGUACUUAUUCAAUCCUGCAAACUUCAUGUUCUAAUUGUCUAUGCUGAGGCAUAAGGAGCGUGUGUUGUCCUACAUCAAUUGGGUAUAAAGAUUUAGGAAUCCUUCUCCUUAAGCUAGUUUUUGGAAUAAGCUAGCUAGGCUCAGUUAUUUUCUUUACGAUAAUAAUUUUAUUUAAAACUAUACUUUUUCGAUCAAUAUAUUAGUGUACCUGGAGAAUUACAAUUAGAGUCAAACUUAAGAAACCUAUUCUUAUUAUUUUAGUUUCAUUCUUUUGAUCAAAUUUUCCGAAAACUGUUUGAUAGAAAAACGAAAGGCAUGCAACACCCAAGCGUUCAUAUUGUCUGACAAGCCCAGAGAUGCAAACUUGAUAGUGAUCAGCUUCAGAGGCUCAGAACCUUUCGAUUCACAAGAUUGGAUGACUAGUAUUGAUUUCUCCUGGUUUGAGGUUCCAAACGUGGGAAAACUUCAUGUUGGAUACUUAGAAUGUAUGGGUAUAGGCACCAGAAGUGAUGCUUCAAGCUUCGAAAGUCACCUUCAAAAGAGGGAUAAAAAUUUCUUCCAAUUAGAUGCUGAGAGUGAGAAGGAAUCGUUGAGAAAAGCAAACAAGAGUGCAUACUAUCUAGUGGCGAUCAAGCUCAGCAACUUACUGAAGGAGAACCCGAAUGCAAAAUUUGUGGUGACAGGACAUAGCUUAGGUGGGGCACUUGCUAUAAUAUUCCCAACCCUGUUGGCAAUCCAAGAUGAGGUUGAGAUGCUGCAAAGGCUGCUAGGUGUUUACACAUUUGGACAGCCAAGAAUCGGAGAUGUGCAGUUAGGAAAGUUCAUGGAACCCCAUUUGCAUAAUCCUGUUGCCAAGUACUUCAGGGUGGUCUAUUCAGAUGAUAUCGUGCCUAGGCUGCCUUUUAACGACAAAGCCUUCCAUUAUAAGCAUUUCGGAGAAUGCAUUUACUAUGACAGACAAUACCUUGGCCAGUUUAAAGAAGAUGUGCCAAACCCAAAUUACUUUGAUAUGAAAUAUAUAUUCCCAAUGCGCCUUAGAGCCGUACUGGAGUUGAUGAGAAGUCUUAAAGAGGACUUCACUCCUGGGUCAGAAUACAAGGAGACUACGCUUUGCAAAGGCUUGAGGCUAAUGGGAUUGCUGCUUCCUGGAAUUGCUUCACACAACCCUGUAAAUUAUGUUAACUGCGUCAGACUUGGAAGGGAGAAGGCUGCUCGAUUGACCUCAAUUACCCUUUCAUGAGAUUAUCUAUGAGGCUAUAUAAUAUAUAAUGUGAACUUCUGAGAGCUUCAGGGUUUAUAAUUAGGUCCCAGCUGCUGGAUGUAGCCCUUUGUUGUGACUCUUGAGUUUUUUAUUUUAUGUUUUAUCUUUGAAAAUGUGUCAGCAUAAUAAUCUCAAAUAAACUCAAUAGUUAUCGUAGUGUGGUGGUAUGCAAUGUAUAAUUUAAUAUAAAAUAGAAAAGAAAAUCUGCAAUUACUAUAUAAAUUAGUCGUUUUGUUCAUGCAUCGUAUAAUUUAUUUAUUUUUUUCUAUUUUGAUAGCACAAUUU